Molecule: long non-coding RNA, 722 nt
Filed under: Cyanistes caeruleus (blue tit)
Lineage: Eukaryota; Metazoa; Chordata; Aves; Passeriformes; Paridae
Description: lncRNA (ENSCCEG00000007308.1)
Source: RNAcentral
AAUUUAAAGAUCUAUCCCAGUCCUUGACCUACAUGGAGGAGCACAGAGCCAGUCAUUUCUGAACCAACAGCCAUAGAAAAUCGGAGGCCUUUUCAUGCUGGAAAUUCCACGGGGAGGAAGGAGAGUGCCUGCAGACAGCAACUGCCUCUGUAGUGAAGGGAAGUCUGAAGUUUCCCCUCUGCUUUUUCGUGCAUAACAGCAUCUGUAUGCCUCAUUUCCAUCUUCACAGCUCCUGUAAUUUACAUAAUGAACAUUUGCAAAGCCUGAGAUCCGGGUUCACUUUGUACCACAUUUACUGUAGAUGACCUUCAGCGUAUCAUCAGAAAAGUUUCCCAGGCAAUUUUCCCAAAGGGUGUGAAUGUGAAACCUAGAUCAUCAGGGAAGGAGGAAAGGGGAAUGAAAGCAGAUUUCUGAGAUAUCUGUCAUUCAAAGGCACUCUUGAAAGACAUCCAUUGGAUUUCCAGCAUGGCAGAGGGAGCCCUGUCUACACAGUGGCCUUUGAGGAACAGGUCUGUGGGCUCCAUGCCACCAGCACCACAGGGGAGCUUGUAAUAACCACACCAGCACAGUCCAGAUGUCUUGGAGAGGAUUUGGUUUCAAGACACAUGGCUGCAAGUUCAGGAGAACUUGGAGGGGGGAAGGGGUUCUGCUCUAAUAUACAUAAUUUGUUUAAAAAGUUUGCAGGUGUUAGAAUUUUUAUUGAAGGCAGGGAGCUGAGAAAU